This 388-nucleotide ribosomal RNA is filed under the name uncultured bacterium. Its description in RNAcentral is "bacterial SSU rRNA". It matches the Rfam family "Bacterial small subunit ribosomal RNA", at positions 30 to 420 of the family's 1533-position model. The record is from RNAcentral.
AUUGAACGCUGGCGGCAUGCCUUACACAUGCAAGUCGAACGGUAAAGGGCCUUCGGGUGCCGACGAGUGGCGAACGGGUGAGUAAUGCAUCGGAACGUACCUUUCAGUGGGGGAUAACGUAGCGAAAGUUACGCUAAUACCGCAUAUUCUGUGAGCAGGAAAGCAGGGGAUCGCAAGACCUUGCGCUGAUUGAGCGGCCGAUGUCAGAUUAGCUAGUUGGUGAGGUAAAGGCUCACCAAGGCGACGAUCUGUAGCGGGUCUGAGAGGAUGAUCCGCCACACUGGAACUGAGACACGGUCCAGACUCCUACGGGAGGCAGCAGUGGGGAAUUUUGGACAAUGGGGGCAACCCUGAUCCAGCCAUGCCGCGUGAGUGAAGAAGGCCUCGG